This 209-nucleotide ribosomal RNA is filed under the name uncultured bacterium. RNAcentral's name for it is "partial 16S ribosomal RNA". It matches the Rfam family "Bacterial small subunit ribosomal RNA", at positions 568 to 775 of the family's 1533-position model. The record is from RNAcentral.
CGCGUAGGCGGCUUUGUAAGUCUGGAGUGAAAGUCCUCUUUUCAAGGGAGGAAUUGCUUUGGAAACUAUAGAGCUUGAGUGCAGGAGAGGUUAUCGGGAAUUCCCGGUGUAGCGGUGAAAUGCGUAGAUAUCGGGAGGAACAUCGGUGGCGAAGGCGGGUAACUGGACUGCAACUGACGCUGAGGCGCGAAAGUGUGGGGAGCAAACAG